Molecule: transfer-messenger RNA, 368 nt
Filed under: Mycobacterium tuberculosis
Lineage: Bacteria; Bacillati; Actinomycetota; Actinomycetes; Mycobacteriales; Mycobacteriaceae
Also listed under: 1 other name
Description: Standard tmRNA
Rfam family: transfer-messenger RNA
About the family: Bacterial tmRNA, also known as 10Sa RNA or SsrA, is named for its dual tRNA and mRNA-like properties. Its role is to liberate the mRNA from a stalled ribosome. To accomplish this part of the tmRNA is used as a reading frame that ends in a translation stop signal.
Source: RNAcentral
GGGGCUGAACGGUUUCGACUUCGCGCAUCGAAUCAAGGGAAGCGUGCCGGUGCAGGCAAGAGACCACCGUAAGCGUCGUUGCGACCAAAUAAGCGCCGAUUCACAUCAGCGCGACUACGCUCUCGCUGCCUAAGCGACGGCUAGUCUGUCAGACCGGGAACGCCCUCGUCCCGGACCCUGGCAUCAGCUAGAGGGAUCCACCGAUGAGUCCGGUCGCGGGACUCCUCGGGACAACCACAGCGACUGGGAUCGUCAUCUCGGCUAGUUCGCGUGACCGGGAGAUCCGAGCAGAGGCAUAGCGAACUGCGCACGGAGAAGCCUUGAGGGAAUGCCGUAGGACCCGGGUUCGAUUCCCGGCAGCUCCACCG